AGUGAACGCUGGCGGUAGGCCUAACACAUGCAAGUCGAACGGCAGCACAGUAAGAGCUUGCUCUUACGGGUGGCGAGUGGCGGACGGGUGAGGAAUACAUCGGAAUCUACUUUUUCGUGGGGGAUAACGUAGGGAAACUUACGCUAAUACCGCAUACGACCUACGGGUGAAAGCAGGGGAUCUUCGGACCUUGCGCGAUUGAAUGAGCCGAUGUCGGAUUAGCUAGUUGGCGGGGUAAAGGCCCACCAAGGCGACGAUCCGUAGCUGGUCUGAGAGGAUGAUCAGCCACACUGGAACUGAGAAACGGUCCAGACUCCUACGGGAGGCAGCAGUGGGGAAUAUUGGACAAUGGGCGCAAGCCUGAUCCAGCCAUACCGCGUGGGUGAAGAAGGCCUUCGGGUUGUAAAGCCCUUUUGUUGGGAAAGAAAAGCAGCAGGUUAAUACCCCGCUGUUCUGACGGUACCCAAAGAAUAAGCACCGGCGAACUUCGU
This 491-nucleotide ribosomal RNA is filed under the name uncultured bacterium. Its description in RNAcentral is "partial 16S ribosomal RNA". It matches the Rfam family "Bacterial small subunit ribosomal RNA", at positions 29 to 506 of the family's 1533-position model. The record is from RNAcentral.